AGUGAACGCUGGCGGCGUGCUUAACACAUGCAAGUCGAACGAGAACGGAUUAUAGCUUGCUAUAAUUGUCAGCUAAGUGGCGCACGGGUGAGUAAUGUAUAGGUAAUAUGCCUCUUACUAAGGGAUAACAAAUGGAAACGUUUGCUAAUACCUUAUACUCCUUAUUAACAGAAGUCAAUAAGGGAAAGAUUUAUUGGUAAGAGAUUAGCCUGUAUUGUAUCAGUUAGUUGGUGGGGUAAUGGCUUACCAAGACUAUGACACAUAACUGGUUUGAGAGGAUGAUCAGUCACACUGGAACUGAGACACGGUCCAGGCUCCUACGGGAAGCAGCAGUGGGGAAUAUUGCACAAUGGACGAAAGUCUGAUGCAGCAACGCCGCGUGGAGGAUGACACAUUUCGGUGCGUAAACUCCUUUUAUAUGAGAAGAUAAUGACGGUAUUAUAUGAAUAAGCACCGGCUAACUCCGUGCCAGCCGCCGCUGUAA
RNAcentral lists this ribosomal RNA (484 nucleotides) under uncultured bacterium. Its description in RNAcentral is "partial 16S ribosomal RNA". It matches the Rfam family "Bacterial small subunit ribosomal RNA", at positions 29 to 523 of the family's 1533-position model. The record is from RNAcentral.